Molecule: non-coding RNA, 23 nt
Filed under: Arabidopsis thaliana (thale cress)
Lineage: Eukaryota; Viridiplantae; Streptophyta; Magnoliopsida; Brassicales; Brassicaceae
Source: RNAcentral
GAAACAGCGAUUCCGAAAUGCCA